Molecule: ribosomal RNA, 214 nt
Filed under: uncultured bacterium
Lineage: Bacteria
Description: partial 16S ribosomal RNA
Rfam family: Bacterial small subunit ribosomal RNA
Source: RNAcentral
UACGUAGGGGGCAAGCGUUGUCCGGAAUUAUUGGGCGUAAAGCGCGCGCAGGCGGUCAUUUAAGUCUGGUGUUUUAAUCCUAGGGCUCAACCCUAGGUCGCACUGGAAACUGGGUGACUUGAGUACAGAAGAGGAAAGUGGAAUUCCACGUGUAGCGGUGAAAUGCGUAGAGAUGUGGAGGAACACCGAGUGGCCGGAAGGCGAACUUUCUGGU